CACGACAUAUCCGAAAGCAGCUGCACCGCGCGCGCGCUCACUCAGAUCCGAGGUUUGGAAGAAAAACGGAAAACCCAGUGGAACACCAAUGCCGACGGUGACGGCCGACGCCAGGAUAGCGGCCACGGGCUUGAAGCGAGGGCAACCCGGCUCUUGUCCCAAGAAAGGAAUCCGCUCCCCGCUGCCCUCCACGGUGGCUGCACGCUGAGCCCCAACUUUCCCAGGAGUGUGCAGCGCACGAUCCGGGGCCUGUAGGCGGCUCACUUCAACCCCGACCACGCUGCCGUGUGUUGCACUCAAGAGUGACGUUUCCGCUCCCCGUGUCCAG
Molecule: long non-coding RNA, 328 nt
Organism: Lethenteron reissneri (Far Eastern brook lamprey)
Lineage: Eukaryota; Metazoa; Chordata; Hyperoartia; Petromyzontiformes; Petromyzontidae
Source: RefSeq, a predicted model, not a curated record